UUUGUUACUUCAAACCAAUCGGACUUCGGUCUGACAUCAAGUGAUAUUGAACAAUUUAGCUGAUCGCACGGUCUAAGAACCGGCGACAUAUCCUUCAAAUGUCUGCCUUAUCAACUUUCGAUGGUAGAUUAUGCGCCUACCAUGGUUGUAACGGGUAACGGAGAAUCAGGGUUUGAUUCCGGAGAGGGAGCCUGAGAAACGGCUACCACAUCCAAGGAAGGCAGCAGGCACGCAAAUUACCCACUCCCGGCACGGGGAGGUAGUGACGAAAAAUAACAAGCUGGUCUCAAUGAGUUCCAGCAUUGUAAUGGGAACAAUUUAAAUCUUUUAUCGAGGAUCUAUUGGAGGGCAAGUCUGGUGCCAGCAGCCGCGGUAAUUCCAGCUCCAAUAGCGUAUAUUAAAGUUGUUGCGGUUAAAAAGCUCGUAGUUGGAUCUAGGAUUAGGGCUACGGUCGUUCAGCUUGGACGUACCGUAUGCCCGACUCCUUUUCUCUAGUAUUCGAUUGUUGCUCUUAAAUGAGUGACUUUAGUUGCUGGAACUUUUACCUUGAAAAAAUUGAAGUGCUCAAAGCAGGUU
RNAcentral lists this ribosomal RNA (576 nucleotides) under uncultured eukaryote. RNAcentral describes it as "SSU rRNA". It matches the Rfam family "Eukaryotic small subunit ribosomal RNA", at positions 203 to 786 of the family's 1831-position model. The record is from RNAcentral.